Molecule: long non-coding RNA, 2476 nt
Organism: Salvelinus namaycush (lake trout)
Lineage: Eukaryota; Metazoa; Chordata; Actinopteri; Salmoniformes; Salmonidae
Exons: 5
Source: RefSeq, a predicted model, not a curated record
UCUUGUAUGUAAACUUCUGACUUCAACUGUAUCUACAGAAAAGACCGGAACAAGGAGUCACAUCCUUCACUCUUCAGCUGAUCUACGGCCUGGUCAUCUUGCCGGAGUACGCCCCUUUCUCUCACCCUGCCGUUGUGUACGUUGUACUGCAGGACGUUGUGUACGCUGUACUGCAGGACGUUGUGUACGCUGUACUGCAGGACGUUGUGUACGCUGUACUGCAGGACGUUGUGUACGCUGUACUGCAGGACGUUGUGUACGCUGUACUGCAGGACGUUGUGUACGCUGUACUGCAGGACGUUGUGUACGCUGUACUGCAGGACGUUGUGUACGCUGUACUGCAGGACGUUGGUAUGGAACUGUUUUCUGGACUAUGCACCCCUUAUAUUGACUGUUUCCUCUCGUUAACAAUGAUUGCCGUGAAUGCCAUAUUUGACUUGAAACCAUGUUUUCUUUUUUCCCAUGCAGUCUCUGCAAAAGUAUUAAGCUGUGUAUUUGGAACCUGUUCCCAAUUUGCCAGGGUCGUGUUUAUUAGGGCACACCAUAGAAAUCAAUGUUUUAUCGUGGACAAGUUCAAGUAGUGCCUCCCUGUUUUUGUGCUUUUAGUUCCACCAUCAGUCACUGGAAAAAGUUAUCCUGAUCCGUUAUCACUUUGAACUAUGGCAACCAGGAGCCCUUCGUGGUUGUGGUUGGGAAGCGGCUGCUGACCAAGGAGCUUGCUCAACAGUAUUUAAGAGGGUGACUCAAACAUCACUAUCACAGUGUGAUGACGCUCUCCCUGAACACAUUAAGCUAAAAUUCUAAAUGAAAUUGACUAAUGAAUGCUCAAACUGUUUCCCAGUCUGUUCACUCUUCAUUUAUCAGGAGCAGACUGGAUGUGACUGAAUCCCUACAACAUUACCAUCAAAUACUUCACCCUGGCUUGCAGCUUCAAAACUCUAACUGAGUGUUUCUCUAACGGGACGAUGGCUGCACUGGCGGUGAAGGUGGAGUAUGCUCCCAGUCUGAACCCUAGUCAGCUGAGCCUGAGUGACCCUGCCUGUGGCCCCACCUACAGCGAUGACCGCUUUGCCUACUUUCACUUCACUGUCAACUCGUGUGGCACCACCCGGAAGUCAUAGGCUCUGGAAGUAGGGGUGCUGCAGCACCCCCACCCCAAACAUCUUCCUGUGGCAGUACUACCAGUGAAGGCAUGUUUCCCUUAACCUAAUGAGGGAUGGUAGAAUACUUGACUGUCCUGCUGCUACGUGGUCAAUGUCACCGACACGCUUUCCUUCCUCACCAAUGAGACUGGGAACGGUCAGCUUAUAUUCAGAAUGAGACUCACUCAUGAUGCCUCGUUCCACCAGGAGGAGGACUACCCAGUGGUGACAUACCUAAGACAGCCUCUGUACUUUGAGGUGGAGCGUACCAGGUCCACUGACCCCAAGGUGGCGCUAUUGCUUGACCACUGCUGGGCCACGCUCAACAAGGACUGACUCACAAUCCAGAUGGAAUCUCAUUAAUGGGGCAAAGACCUCACAAAGACAUCUGAGGAGCAUCGCAUAUGUUUCAUCUGGACAGGUUCUUCGUGUGUAAAUGUCCUAAGGUGAGGAAAGUUCAAAUAAAGUGUUCGACAUUAUUUGGUUUGAUUCACUUGCACCUCAAUCUAUCAAUUGCUCUAAUUUGGCUUUUCAUCAGGCAUGGCAGUGUGAGUGGGUCAGAAACAGUAACUUAAAGAUUAAGGUAGCUUUAAUGCUCAUAUGGUUAUUUGCAUUCAACACCAAGGCAUAUACUUUAGUCAUCUGACAUGUAUAAAUCAACCCCUUUUGUAAUUCUGCAACUCGGAACCAGUUUUAAGCUGCAAACCAAUUUUCCAUCUGAGGUAAAAGUAACUUUAAAAUAAAUAUUUGGUAUAAAAGCAGAACAGACUUCCAGUGUAGUAGGAAGAACUGACUCAGUGUUCCAGCAUGUUGUUCCCCCAAAGUGAUGCCAGCAGGGUGGUGACGCUGAGCUCCAAGGCUGUGGAUGGAUGCGAGCUCUGACUGCAGCGGUGUUGGUCUUUCAAUUUUGGAAGUAAACCGAUUCCAAUUUCUCUUCUGAGGCAUGUAGAAUUGGCAUUUUGGUUUACUUCCUGAAUGAACUUUACCUUAUUUGACGGUCCAUGCAUUGAGUUUACUGAUGUUUAGGCUUUUAGUGCUGCUGAGUCCCAGGGUGAGACGGCGUGGAGUACUGGUAUCUAGCCCGAGGCAGCAUGUGAUGAGUCGGGUCAGUCAAUACACCAGUCAGUGCUGCAGCAAGACUGGACUCUGUUGGGAUACUCCCUGUGAGGUGUACACAGUAAGGGUGGUACUGCGGGAUAAGGUGAUCCUCUGUGCACAUGCUGUGACACUAUCCACUAACAGUUGUCAUGACGUUGGCCUGUGGGUAAGGUUUAUGACCCCCACCCCAUAAAUACCUUUCUCCCUUCCCUCUCUGACUCUACAGAGGAACUCUU